GACGAACGCUGGCGGCGUGCUUAACACAUGCAAGUCGAACGGAAAGGCCCUGCUUUUGUGGGGUGCUCGAGUGGCGAACGGGUGAGUAACACGUGAGUAACCUGCCCUUGUCUUUGGGAUAACUUCAGGAAACUGGGGCUAAUACCGGAUAGGAUCUCCUGCUGCAUGGUGGGGGUUGGAAAGUGUCGGCGGUUGGGGAUGGACUCGCGGCUUAUCAGCUUGUUGGUGGAGUAGUUGCUUACCAAGCCUUUGACGGGUAGCCGGCAUGAGAGGGUGACCGGCGACAUGGGGACUACGGGAGGCACCAGACUCGAACGGGAGGCAGCAGGGGGAAGUAUUGCGCAAUGGGGGGGAGCCUGAGGUAAAAGCCCCGGGAGCGGGAUAACGGCCUACGGGGUGUAAACAGAUGUGUAAGGUAACGAAGCGUGCGUGACGGUAAUGAAUAAGGAAGCCCCGGCUAACUACGUG
RNAcentral lists this ribosomal RNA (468 nucleotides) under uncultured bacterium. RNAcentral describes it as "partial 16S ribosomal RNA". It matches the Rfam family "Bacterial small subunit ribosomal RNA", at positions 28 to 507 of the family's 1533-position model. The record is from RNAcentral.